CACUGGAGUAGAAGUGAAUGUUGAAGAAGGCAAUCCACAACAGGUAGAGCAAAAUGUAGAGCAAGGAAGUAAAGAUCAGACUUCAGGCGAUAGUAUCGCCUGCUGUAUUUGUCAUGGAUGUUUUUGUUGUUGUAAACCCGAAACCGAAAACAAACGAGAAGAGACCUCGGGCUAUAGUUUCGCCUCCUGUAUUUGUCAUGGAUGUUCCUGUUAUUGCAAACCUGAAAUCGAAUACAACCGAGGAGAGGAACGCGGGAAAGCUAUAGCAUCAUCUGUUGAGAAGUAUCUGAAACA
Pocillopora verrucosa is the source of this 294-nucleotide non-coding RNA. The record is from RefSeq and is a predicted model, not a curated record. Lineage: Eukaryota; Metazoa; Cnidaria; Anthozoa; Scleractinia; Pocilloporidae.